This 550-nucleotide ribosomal RNA is filed under the name uncultured bacterium. Its description in RNAcentral is "bacterial SSU rRNA". It matches the Rfam family "Bacterial small subunit ribosomal RNA", at positions 355 to 896 of the family's 1533-position model. The record is from RNAcentral.
UAGGGAAUCUUCCGCAAUGGGCGAAAGCCUGACGGAGCAACGCCGCGUGAGUGAUGAAGGUCUUCGGAUCGUAAAACUCUGUUAUUAGGGAAGAACAAAUGUGUAAGUAACUAUGCACGUCUUGACGGUACCUAAUCAGAAAGCCACGGCUAACUACGUGCCAGCAGCCGCGGUAAUACGUAGGUGGUAAGCGUUAUCCGGAAUUAUUGGGCGUAAAGCGCGCGUAGGCGGUUUUUUAAGUCUGAUGUGAAAGCCCACGGCUCAACCGUGGAGGGUCAUUGGAAACUGGAAAACUUGAGUGCAGAAGAGGAAAGUGGAAUUCCAUGUGUAGCGGUGAAAUGCGCAGAGAUAUGGAGGAACACCAGUGGCGAAGGCGACUUUCUGGUCUGUAACUGACGCUGAUGUGCGAAAGCGUGGGGAUCAAACAGGAUUAGAUACCCUGGUAGUCCACGCCGUAAACGAUGAGUGCUAAGUGUUAGGGGGUUUCCGCCCCUUAGUGCUGCAGCUAACGCAUUAAGCACUCCGCCUGGGGAGUACGACCGCAAGGUUG